Molecule: transfer RNA, 76 nt
Filed under: Acidobacteriota bacterium
Lineage: Bacteria; Pseudomonadati; Acidobacteriota
Description: Acidobacteria bacterium tRNA-Arg
Rfam family: tRNA
About the family: Transfer RNA (tRNA) molecules are approximately 80 nucleotides in length.
Source: RNAcentral
GCUCGCGUAGCUCAGGGGAUAGAGCGUCUGCCUCCGGAGCAGAAGGUCGCUGGUUCGAUUCCAGCCGCGAGCGCCA